This 876-nucleotide long non-coding RNA is filed under the name Lathyrus oleraceus (garden pea). RNAcentral describes it as "Pisum sativum (pea) long non-coding RNA (PSAT_LNC014822)". The record is from RNAcentral. Lineage: Eukaryota; Viridiplantae; Streptophyta; Magnoliopsida; Fabales; Fabaceae.
AGCAUAAUGCUUCAAAUGAAAUGUAACAGAAGCAAUUAGACAGACACGAAAUCGAACCCGGAAUAAACAGCCACACCAAAUACAUUGCCGCUACUCAUGAUCGCCUUUCAAUCACAAACAAACAAAUAAAGAAUCCAGACAUACGACGAUAACGAAAUUAAAAUUCGACAAAAAACAAACAUAAAUAACACAAUCUCAGAGAUGCCGCAAAUACAAAUCCAAGGUUCGAGCAGUAAAGUAAAACCACAUCAAAAUUUGUUUUGAAUCGUUACCCUCGUGUCUUCGUGUUGAACCAACUACUGGGUAGUCUCUAUCAAGAUUUUGUGGUUGCUCCGUCAAAGUUGUAAAGGCGGUGUACGGAUUUGAGCGAGUACGCGGUGAUUCUUUGAGUCAAGGCAUCCAAGACAUUCCAAAAUCCAAUGGGCCAAAAACCAUUUCAAUAGAACCCCUGCAUUGAAAACCCAAUAACAACGAAGCAACGAACUAUGUCCAUGAUCGAAACACCACCAUUAACAUCGUCCACACGGUAAUGCAUGAUUCCAUGGUUGUAGUGAUGUUUUGAGGCGUUUGUGAUGGCAAAUCGGGCCGAAUCUUGUGGAGAGUGUGGUUGGAACGGCGAGGCGGAUGAAGGCGUGACGAUGACGGGGUUUAUGAAUGUGAUGGCAAAUCGGGCCGAAUCUUGUGGAGAGUGUGGUUGGAACGGCGAGGCGGAUGAAGGCGUGACGAUGACGGGGUUUAUGAUAGUGGAUGCGAUACUGUUAUGAGGUUGAGGGAGAAGAAAGCGAAACCGUCAUGAUUUGGAUGGUGGUUAGGGUGGCGGCGAUGAUGUUUGCGACGAGGGUUUGGUUUUUGUGUGAAGAUGUAGAGGGUUUGUGU